Molecule: ribosomal RNA, 445 nt
Filed under: uncultured bacterium
Lineage: Bacteria
Description: partial 16S ribosomal RNA
Rfam family: Bacterial small subunit ribosomal RNA
Source: RNAcentral
GUGAGGAAUAUUGGUCAAUGGGCGGAAGCCUGAACCAGCCAAGUAGCGUGCAGGAUGACGGCCCUAUGGGUUGUAAACUGCUUUUAUACGGGGAUAAAGUCAGCCACGUGUGGUUGAUUGCAGGUACCGUAUGAAUAAGGACCGGCUAAUUCCGUGCCAGCAGCCGCGGUAAUACGGAAGGUCCGGGCGUUAUCCGGAUUUAUUGGGUUUAAAGGGAGCGCAGGCCGGAAGCAAAGCGUGCCGUGAAAUGUAGAUGCUCAACAUCUGAAUUGCGGCGCGAACUGGUUUUCUUGAGUGCAUACGAGGUAGGCGGAAUUUGUGGUGUAGCGGUGAAAUGCUUAGAUAUCACGAAGAACUCCGAUUGCGAAGGCAGCCUACCAGGAUGUAACUGACGCUAAAGCUCGAAAGUGCGGGUAUCGAACAGGAUUAGAAACCCGGGUAGUCC